Tachyglossus aculeatus (Australian echidna) is the source of this 138-nucleotide small nucleolar RNA. Lineage: Eukaryota; Metazoa; Chordata; Mammalia; Monotremata; Tachyglossidae. The record is from RefSeq and is a predicted model, not a curated record.
CCCCUCUCAGGGUCACACCUGAAGAGUUUCCAGUACUCUACCAGUCUCGACUAUGAGAAGGAGAGUCAAGCAGAGGCAUACCCAUUCCAUUCCUAGCUUGGCCAGUGUCUAGAGAGUGGCAGGCAUUCUGCUACAAGU